UCUCCUCCUCCCGCCGCAGCCACCGACGUGGCGGGGACGGAGGAGGAGCGACCUCGCGGCCCGCCGCGCUCGAAAGGCGCUGAGGCGUUCCCUCGCGGCCGCCCGCUUCCCGCCGGGCACGGCCCGGGCCCGCCGAGCUGCGGGGGGCGACGGCGGAAGGAAUGCGGAGCGGCUGACGGCGUGCGCUGCGCUCGGACCGAGCGGUACCGCUGCUGUGCCUGGCGCGGGCGGUCCGUCAGAGCGGGGCGAGGCACGGAAGCGCGGCACCGAAGCGGCCCUUCGCACCAAGCCGGGAUGGAAGUCUCUUAUUCCCCGAAGCCCGGUUAUUUGUGAGCGCCUCCUGCUCUGCGCGGUGACAGCGGGUGCGUUCAGGGAGGAGGACAGCCCAAGGGAAGGACUGGGACUCCACACAACUCAAGUCAGCAGCCACAGGAUCACCUCUGAAGGAUAACGGUACUGCCAAAAGCCAGUCCGCUCCGCGUGCAGGCCCUCCUUGCUGGGCCAGUUCACUCUGCAGAUGAGAAGAAGGUUGGGAAGAAACACACAGGAGUCCACUGCCAUGUAAAACCCAUCGGGUGAAUACCACGCCCCAUGGAACUUUCCACUGUUAAAAAAAAAGCCUGGAGCCCAGGACUGCCAAACCAGAGGACAGGCACUGUCCCAGUGGAGGGAAACCACACAGCACCUUUGGGAUGACCUCAAGCCAGUGGUAAAGGAAGAAACAGAGUAGGUGUGUAAUUCCGCACGUGACAGCUCAGAUUCUUCCACAUAUCCUGGGGAUGCACAGCCCCAUUCAGCACUGCACUUGUUCUCUGACCACUUCCUCCCGUUCCCCAGUCCUACCCAUCCGUCCAUUAAUCCAGCCCCCAGGUAUGAGGAUGACUAUGCAAGCAGGGCUGUUUCCCCACUAAGUAGGAGAUAACCGACUUCUAAUCAUCUCCAAAAGAGCAGGCGCUCUCCCUAGUUCCAAUAUAUGGAUGUUACCUUGAGCAUGGGAACCAUGGGCAUCUGCUGGUACCUAUUCCUCACACUACUGCCAGUGUCCAUCACCAUAAAAAUACUCCUGUUUCGUCUCUGUCCUCUCUAGAAGAGUUUAGGAUUGCAGAAUCAAAUGCCUUGGGUUGGAGAGGACCUUAAAGAUGCUGGUGCUGUGAAAGAAGCCACUAAAGGAAAAAGAUGUUGUCCAGCUGCAGAUUAAGUUCCUGCCAUAAAAACAAUACAGCACGGCUGGAAGAGCAGACAACCAAGCACAAGCACAUUAUCCAUGGGAAAAUUAUGUCCUGGCACAAAGGCAGGGUUGAAGGAACCCUCCCACGACCAUUGCCCAACCAGGACAUAGGCUAUGCCUCGUCCUGUUGAGGACAUCUGGAGAAGGACAUGCUAGAUGACAAAGCCUGGGAGUGCACAGCAGAUGGGUGUUGCUAAGCUCUCCCUCAAGCACAGUGGCAGCCAAGCUUGACUAAAGUUGCUUGGUCUGUUUAGCUGGUGCUCAGAAGCGACUUGAUGCCAUUUCCAAAUCAGAGUACCAGAGUAGGCAUCUCAUCUCUUCUUUACGUGUGGAUUUGAAUACAUUUGUCAACAUGAGAGCUUCAGAAGUGGUCAAAUCUGUGUUGAGCUGUCAGGAAAAAUAUGUAAAAUCUUGGGGAAAACACAAGUGAUUCCAGAUUAACCACAGUUGUCAUAGUGUUUGUGGCUCUGCUCUACAUGAACUCAACAAAAUGUGUAAUUAUCUCUGACGAGCUAAUUACACAUUGUAAUUUCCUGUAAGGGUUAUUUUUAGGUGAUUUUUUUGUUUGCUUAGUUGGAUAAAAAUAUACAAUAUUGUCCUUAUGUGGGAUUAAUUUUAAAUACAUGUCUUUACACCCCUA
Molecule: long non-coding RNA, 1868 nt
Organism: Gallus gallus (chicken)
Lineage: Eukaryota; Metazoa; Chordata; Aves; Galliformes; Phasianidae
Exons: 2
Source: RefSeq, a predicted model, not a curated record